This 494-nucleotide ribosomal RNA is filed under the name uncultured bacterium. RNAcentral describes it as "partial 16S ribosomal RNA". It matches the Rfam family "Bacterial small subunit ribosomal RNA", at positions 28 to 506 of the family's 1533-position model. The record is from RNAcentral.
GACGAACGCUGGCGGCGUGCCUAAUACAUGCAAGUAGAACGCUGAAGGAGGAGCUUGCUUCUCUGGAUGAGUUGCGAACGGGUGAGUAACGCGUAGGUAACCUGCCUGGUAGCGGGGGAUAACUAUUGGAAACGAUAGCUAAUACCGCAUAAGAGUAGAUGUUGCAUGACAUUUGCUUAAAAGGUGCAAUUGCAUCACUACCAGAUGGACCUGCGUUGUAUUAGCUAGUUGGUGAGGUAACGGCUCACCAAGGCGACGAUACAUAGCCGACCUGAGAGGGUGAUCGGCCACCCUGGGACUGAGACACGGCCCAGACUCCUACGGGAGGCAGCAGUAGGGAAUCUUCGGCAAUGGACGGAAGUCUGACCGAGCAACGCCGCGUGAGUGAAGAAGGUUUUCGGAUCGUAAAGCUCUGUUGUAAGAGAAGAACGAGUGUGAGAGUGGAAAGUUCACACUGUGACGGUAUCUUGCCAGAAAGGGACGGCUAACUACGU